CAAGUCGAGGGGCAGCAUGGAUGUAUCAAUACACUGAUGGCGACCGGCAAACGGGUGCGGAACACUUACGCAACUUACCCAAAACUGGGGAAUAGCCCGGGGAAACCCGGAUUAAUACCUCGUAACAUAAUGAAGUGGCAUCGCUUUAUUAUUAUAGCUCCGGCGGUUUUGGAUGGGCGUGCGCCUGAUUAUGUAGUUGGCGGGGUAACGGCCCACCAAGCCUACGAUCAGUAACUGGUGUGAGAGCACGACCAGGUCACACGGGCACUGAGACACGGGCCCGACUCCUACGGGAGGCAGCAGUAAGGAAUAUUGGUCAAUGGACGCAAGUCUGAACCAGCCAUGCCGCGUGAAGGAUGAAGGUCCUCUGGAUUGUAAACUUCUUUUAUAUGGGAAGAAAUCCAUCUUUUCUUGGGUGGUUGACGGUACCAUAGGAAUAAGCACCGGCUAACUCCGUGCCAGCGGCCGCGGUAAUACGGAGGGUGCAAGCGUUAUCCGGAUUCACUGGGUUUAAAGGGUGCGUAGGAGGGCAGGUAAGUCAGUGGUGAAAUCUCCAAGCUUAACUUGGAAACUGCCGUUGAUACUACCUGUCUUGAAUACCGUGGAGGUGAGCGGAAUAUGUCAUGUAGCGGUGAAAUGCUUAGAUAUGACAUAGAACACCAAUUGCGAAGGCAGCUCGCUACACGAAUAUUGACUCUGAGGCACGAAAGCGUGGGGAUCAAACAGGAUUAGAUACCCUGGUAGUCCACGCCCUAAACGAUGGAUACUCGACAUACGCGAUACACAGUGUGUGUCUGAGCGAAAGCAUUAAGUAUCCCACCUGGGAAGUACGACCGCAAGGUUGAAACUCAAAGGAAUUGGCGGGGGUCCGCA
RNAcentral lists this ribosomal RNA (873 nucleotides) under uncultured Flavobacteriia bacterium. Its description in RNAcentral is "bacterial SSU rRNA". It matches the Rfam family "Bacterial small subunit ribosomal RNA", at positions 58 to 925 of the family's 1533-position model. Lineage: Bacteria; Pseudomonadati; Bacteroidota; Flavobacteriia. The record is from RNAcentral.